UCAUAAAAAAAAUCUGAGAAUUCGUGAACCCCUCUCAAAGAAUCUUCUAGUUUCCAUAAAAACAGAAAAAGAUUUCUUGACCCCUUUUCAAACAUUCUUCUCCAAAAAUUCUAAAAUCAACAAUUUGAUUUCUAAAUAAUUACUCUUACUAGCACAUUAGUGAAGAAAUUCCAUUGAAGGUGGUGUGGACUUGCAUUGAAGGGAAGACGGGUGUGCCCCUAUCAUAAACGAAAAAAUGAAAUAGUUACUUUUCCUUGGAAAGAAGGGGCAUCGCUUCCUAUUGCUUGCUAGGAAAUGGAUCGUCAUUUAAAUCAUCUUGUUCAGUUGGAGUGCAUCAAUGAUUAGUAAUCUAAAUCUAGUUCAACAGAUAUUUGCUUUGAAUGCAUGAGAUGUAUGUCUUGAUAGCAACUAUAUGAUGGCAAAUUUUUACUUUUGUUAGGGUUUGCAUUUGAGGAUAGAUAGACAGAUGUGUGGAUCAGCUCAAGGUGGGAUGGGUGAUGAUGACCCAAGUAGUCCAUAAAGCCUCAACCCAAGGUUUCUAAGGAAUGAAUGAUCCAGUAGGAUACUAUAGCCUAGGUGCAGAUUAGGAUGACACUCCAAAAAAAACCUACUUGGAUUGCAUGAUGAUGAUUCUACAAGGAAAGGAAACAUGUCUCAGGCCAUAUGCUCCGCCGCUGUGUCUCUCAACUUUAAUUCCCCAUUAACAGACGCCUCAAUUGGCAGAUUGCAUCGCUUUAGGACAGCUGCCGCCGUCGCGAGUCCCUCCCGGUGGUCUCUUCAUGGCUCCACCGCCCUCGUUACCGGCGGUACCAGAGGUAUUGGACAUGCGAUUGUGGAGGAGUUGGCUGGGCUUGGGGCUGCUGUGCACACGUGUGCCAGAAGCAAAGACGAGCUGGAUAAAUGCUUGAGGGGUUGGGAAGAUGAGGGUUUUGGGAUCACGGGUUCAGUGUGUGACGUGUCUUCUCAAGCAGACCGGGAGAAGUUACUGGAUUCUGUUUCCUCUAUAUUCAAUCAGAAGUUGAAUAUUCUUAUAAAUAACGUUGGGACAAACAUCCGAAAGCCUAUGGUUGAUUUUACAUCUGAAGAAGUCUCAAUGCUCAUGGGAACAAAUUUUGAAUCUGCUUUUCACAUGUGCCAACUUGCAUAUCCUCUCCUGAAAGCCUCUGGUGCAGGAAGUGUUGUGUUCACCUCAUCAGUCUCUGGUUUUGUUUCGUUGAAGUAUAUGUCUGUCCAUGGAGCAUCUAAAGGUGCAAUCAAUCAACUUACCAAAAAUUUGGCAUGUGAGUGGGCAAGAGAUGGUAUCAGGGUUAAUGCUGUUGCACCUUGGUACAUCAAAACCUCCAUGGUGGAGCAAGUGCUAAGCAACAAAAAAUACUUGGAAGAAGUAUAUGAUAGAACUCCAAUGCGUCGUCUUGGUGAUCCAACGGAAGUCUCGUCUAUGGUGGCAUUCCUUUGUCUACCUGCUUCAUCCUUCAUCACUGGCCAGAUUGUCUGUGUUGAUGGUGGGAUGUCUGUGAACGGUUUUUAUCCAAGCCAAAGUUAAGGGCUGUGCGGGAUAUAGUUGUCGGAGCUCAAAGGAGGAGGGGCAGAGGCCAGCCGUGGAGAAGAACGGAGGGAUGGAUGCCAAUAUCGAGCCUGAACUGCCCUUGGCUGGUUGGGGUGCCCCCCGUCAGGACUUCGCUGGGCGCUUUCCUUUGAACACCUUGGGAGUUUAGGGAGGUGUUUAUCAGCAUCCGACAUCCGAAAAAUGGAGGGACGUCCCAUAUCUCAACUGGUGGUGCGUCUGAUAGUGCAUAAGACUCUACCUUCCGGGCCUGCAAGUAGAGGAUGCCGAGCCUUGACCCACAGCUCUCUCAAAGCCGCUACGGAUGGAUGCUCGUUGGCUACCAAGGAACCCUCUCCGAUCACUCAUUGAUGACAUCUCAAUGUGCAUAGUGGGCUGAGUCGGCCUAAGACUGGUAUAGAUCAGCCCGUAAAAGCUCGACUCAGGACCGACCCACAAUUAUUUAUGGUCAGUCUGGAGCCUCUAAGUGGGCCCCAAUUGGGUCUAUUUUAAAAUUCAGACCCAACCAUGGAUCGGCCUAGUUGAGGCUCGGACCAAGCCCAGACUAGGCCUGCAUUAGGCCCAGAUGUGCUUGUUUAGUUUUUUAUGAUAUUGAGAUUUUCUUAUAAAUAAUUAUGGAUUGGAUAAUUCAGUCCGAUCCACUGUACAUCUUGAAAUUGACAUUUAAAAACCCCAAAAGAAAGUGAAUACACAAAACCAAAAAGGGUGAGGGAAGACAAACUAAAAGAACAAAUCCCUGAAAAAUGGGAGAAGAGUAAAGAAAGGAAAGAGAUGAGGACUUGAUGAAACAACUGGAACUUGGGUUCCCCGGGGCUUAAAAUAGAGAGAAAGAAAGCAAAUGGCAUGACAGGGCUGCAGGUAAAGCGGGUGGGUUCGAUUGCGAGUAGGGACGGCCGCAUCCUGGAGAAAGGA
Molecule: RNA transcript, 2476 nt
Organism: Sesamum indicum (sesame)
Lineage: Eukaryota; Viridiplantae; Streptophyta; Magnoliopsida; Lamiales; Pedaliaceae
Gene name: tropinone reductase homolog At5g06060
Source: RefSeq, a predicted model, not a curated record